Fopius arisanus is the source of this 5565-nucleotide long non-coding RNA. RefSeq lists it as uncharacterized. NCBI's taxonomy places the organism in Eukaryota, Metazoa, Arthropoda, Insecta, Hymenoptera, Braconidae. The record is from RefSeq and is a predicted model, not a curated record. The transcript is spliced from 5 exons.
CGGAUAAACACUUCUGCUCGGAUGUUUGGUCGUCCAAACGACAAUAACGCGUGAUUGCAGCAAGAUCUAGCUCAUUUUAAAAAUAUAAAAAAAAUUGCUCUCCAUACUCGCGAUAUUGGGAAAUAAAAUAGUUGGUGAAAGUUUUUUAGGGGUUUGAGAGAUUCUUCGGUGGGGUGACCUACAUGUUCUUUAUCGCUUCUAAAAUCGGGAUAUAAAAAUUGUGAGAAUAAUCAGACGGAGUAGGCAAACAUUGAAAACCUGAAUAUCGGCCAAUACUCUACUGACUCCUUCACGACCAGCAGAGGCUCAAUAUCCGACAGUAUCUUCCGGAGAAAAAAAAUUCCCCUCACCAGUUCUACGAAAAUGGACUCAUCAUUACUCUGUGCUUUCCUCACCUCCAUUUCUCUUUGGGAUUCCGGAUUAUGCCUUGAUUAUGGAUUCUUCAAAAGUGAGGAAUUAAAUACAACCAUUCAACAUGCGUCAAAAUUGCUCGCACCAUUCGCAAAAACCAAAUCUGAAAAUCACCCAAAAAUUAAUGGUGAAAUGACACUUCCAGAAACGGGGGAAAACAGGACUUUCCAUCCUGAUACUAGUCUCUUUCGCGCAGAGGCUGCGAUCACUGGAAUACCACCUGCAGACAUCGAUCUUGUAGAAUCAAUUUCGAUCGACAAAGUCGAGACAAAAUCGAUACUUAAAAAGCCUGAGAUUGAGCCAUUAAAUGUCACUCUCACCCUGCAAUCUUCCGGACAAAUUAAUCCUUUUCCCCCUCUCCUUUAAUUAGAAAAAAAAUCAGUAGAUCAAAUCAAUAGACAACUACCAAAACUGAAAGGGAAAUAAAUCUAAUACCAACCCGAAAUGUGUAUCUUCUAUCAUUAAAGAUUUAUUUCAUAUAAUAUUACACCAACAACUAUUAUUGAAUUUCUAUAAUUAAUAAUUCCUUAUCGUGUUAAAAAUGCGAAUAAACACUUAUUCAAUAAUAUAUAAUUAUGUAUAUAAUUUUAUAUACUUUUUAUAUAUUAGAAAUAUCGUAUAAUUAAUAUAUUUAUAGCCUAGUGAUGGAUUUUGUGCUGAGAACAUCAACUCCCUUAUUCACACGUACUCAGCAUCUUAUGAAAUUUAUUCCUCAAAUUCUCUCGAUUUACACAUUUACUCGAGAGGUCAAUGAUUUCGUUUAAUUUACAAAAAUUCGUGAAUUACCAUCCUCUUAUUUUUUUUUUCAUCUCAUUCUUGCUGUUCCGUUGGAAUGCAUGAUUACAUAAAUCUCUUCUCCAAUAAUUCUGUUUCGUUAUGAUAAAAUAAUUAAAUUCGAGCAGAAGCUGACGAUUAAGAGCUCAUUCUUAUAUCAUUUCUCAUGAUAAGCAAUUUCCUGUGAAUCAGUAUGAUUAUGUUACAGACAUGAUUAACGAAAACAAUAUAGAUAUGCUGAUGUCUAUUCAGAUAUAAUAUAUAUAUUUAUAUAUAUAUAAAUAUAUAUAUAUAUAAAUUCUGAAAAAUAUGAUAUGGCGAUGGCUCCUCAAAUUGCGACUGACAUUUCUCUAGUUUCAUUUACAAUCGCACGUUUCGAAUUCAAUUCAAUCGCACCUGUCGUUUUAUCUCCUGGCAAUGAUAUCCCAGACAUUAUUUAAUAUUAGAUAAUGUACAAGACAUAAGUACAACGACUAUUGUAGCUUAAAUGAGAAUCUGCUAGAGUCGUGCCUCAGAUUAUUACACUAUGAAUGAUUAAUUUUCGCAUUAUUUCAAUUGUAUUUUAUCGUUACAACUCUGGAGUAUUAUUUUCACGAUUGAUGGUUACCAAAUAAAUUGGCAGUGUUUUCAAUGAUUGAUAAUUCAAUUCAAUGAAUUACAAUGGCGGUCCUCAAUCGUGAAAAUCUGAACAUUGAUUUGUUUUCAGUUCACUAGUUUUUUUUCUAUUAUCUCAGUCGGUAUAAAAACGUUUAUAUAUUAGUGAUAUGUUUCUCGUAGAUUACACAGUAUGGAUUAUGAAUGCUGACAGGGGGAAAAUAGAUGCACAAAAAUUGUGUUCAACAGAAAUCUGAGACAACGACGAUUGAGGUAUUUGUUAGGUGCAUCGCUUUUAUAAUGUUUAUGGUUAGCGACACUACUAUCGGAGAAUCCAUCAUUUUUCAUUUAAUUACAAUUAGAUUUAAUAUUGGUUUUUUCCUUUUAUCGAAAAAUCUUACACUUCUACCAGAAAUUGUUUCUUCCAUUUUAAUCGAAGACGUGUUUUUUUUUCUUGUUUCUUUUUUUUUAUGUAUUUGUAAUCAUUUUGUACUUGUACUGUUCAGCAAGGCAGCGUGUUGCACUUUGUUACUUUUAAUUCAUUUUUUUUUUUUCAUUAUUUAAUUACAUUUAAAUCCGGCUCAUAUAUCUGCUCCAAUCACUCAAUUAUUACUUCGUUAAAGUAUUGUUAUUUGUUACUACGAAGUUGUAAAAACCUAUUUUCUCAUUUACGCAAAUACAAUUAUGACAAGCAGACGAGGAUGGAUCAAUUGAAGUUUCAUGAAUUGUCUCUAAUCAAUGAUUUUUUUUUUCGACAGGAUUAAGUAUCACGGAGAGAACAUGUGGACGUUUUUUUUUGCACAUCGUUCUUCUAUCCACUAUAGAGUGAUUCGUUUAACAAUAGUAACUAUAAUAAACAAAAGCGAAGAUGAAACAAUAUAUGAAAUACAUUUUGUUGUUUUGAUCAACAGUUCUCUUGUCCUUCGUAAUGAAAUUUAUUUCGCUUGCUCAGAGAAGAAAUCAUUCCAUAAUGAAGAUUAUAUACGUUUAUUUAUUUCUCUCGUUAUUGUUUAAAAGAAAAAAACGUUAAACGAGAUGAGAAAAAUUCCCGUGAAUUAUUUCCCCUUCGUUCCCUACCUUUUCUCUAAUGCGUGAGACUUACAGCAAAUAAAUUCAGAAAAACAAACAUAAACAUCAAUAAUGAAUAAUUAAUAAUGCAAUAAUAUAAUAGUGUAUUGAUGUAUUCAAUCAUAAUAAGCUGCUGUGUCAAGUUCUCAUAAACAUAUUUCAACAAUCACUUUGAGAACAGACGCAAAUAGUAAAGGGAAAUUAAUAGUAAUGAUAAUAAUAAUAAUCCUGUGGAGAAUUACCUUACGGAAUAUUACUAAUAAUUAUUUAUAGAUAUGUAUAUGUAUGUACACAAAGAAUCAACUGAAUUAUCUUGGAGAGGGGAAAAAAAUAUUUCUGAGGAUAUCGUACAUUAGACUAAUUCACAUCGAUUGAAACUACUAAUUAUAGACGUAUAAUUAUAAUUCACUCGUUGAAGUUCUCCCAACGAGUGCAUCACGAGUAUACUCAGUAAAGAAACUAUCGAUUGCAAAUAAUGAAAAAUAAUUGUUGAUUAAAAGAUACAAACGCCAACUAAUACGGAUUGAUCGUUCAGUUGAAAAAAAAAGUGCCUCAGUCAUGAUGAUAAGUUUUAGGUGAUGAUUCUGUCCACCGCAUCGCGAAACUCAUAAACAAUUCAUUCAGGAAAAAAAAUAGAAAGAAAUAAAUGAACGGAGUUGUGAAUUUUUUCAGCAUUGCACGUUAAUUAUAUUUAUAUGGCCAGGAUGAUUGAAUCAGUCGACGCUUAUAUAAUAUUUGUUUAUCAGUGAAUGUGCCACAAUGAUGAGACAAUAAUCGAAAUGCCAUUUUUGAAAAUCAGUUAUGCGUUGUCAUUCCAUACGAAUUACGAACUUUGGUCCAUUUGUUUCAAUAAUUUUUCCUCGCGAUUACAUAUUUUGAGUUCUCUGGUGUUUGAUGAACCGUCCGACAAAUUUUUUCUUGAUUUUUUUUUUCUUCUUUUUGUAACAAUUGAUUUAUAUUUAGUGUUCAUUAUCAGUAGUUAUGGCACAAUAUAUAAAUAUUAUAUUUAAAGUCUUUUUGAAGACAUAAUAAAAAUAAAUCUAAGUAGUCUUUCUCCUAUAUGUUCGACAAUUUCAUAUCAUCCUCUUUUAUUUUCUCCGAACAUUACAAUGCUUAGAUCUUUCUUUUCCUUGAUUCGAAUAUUCUUGUUGUUCUCGUUCCUUUAUUUUUUUUUAAGUGCAUUCGUUAAAAAAUGCGAUUCAACUUUUCCUUUAAUGCGAAAAUUCAAUUUCAAAAGCUUUCAAAUUUCUCACACAAAUGAAAAUAUCUAAUUUUGACUUCAAAUAAUCGAAUAAUCCAAAAAUUGAUUUCCCUCAUUGUUUCUUUGGUAAAACAAUAUCACAUGAAACAACAAAAUAAAAAUUUUCCAACCCAUUGGGGACAGUCUAAUCAGUCAACCUUUUCUUUUCCAACUUAACAAGAACAAACAAUAAUUUGGAAAGAGGAGGAAGAAAAUAAACGAAAAAUAGAAACAAGUAAUGUUUUUUAAAGGUUAUUCGAUUUUUUCUUAAUUAAACUGACGUCUAAAUUAUAAAAAUCAGCCUUCUCGACAGUAAAUUCGCAUUAUCAAAGCAUUUUCUCACAGCGCUAAGAAAGAAGAAAACGUAUUUUUCAAAUUGAGCUACGUGUGCAAAAGGAAAUAACUUCCAUUUACGCUUGAAUAGUCUCUUUAACCCACGAAGAAAAACAAUUGUUUUUUAAUCAAUUAUGGAAACCUACCGAUUGUGGAAGAAAAAUUGCCGGAAAUGGAACUGCCAACCCGAUAAUUACUAAUUCACAAGAUCAUCAUAUCCCAAGUCAUAUCCAUCAUACCCACCAUACCCCAUUCCAUCAAGCUCAUGACGAAAAUAAUCCCUGAUUUCCGGUCAAUUUUCACCAGAAAAAAUGUCAGAUUAAACAUUCGAAAAUGAGAAAUGAGUCAUGCAAGUAAUGAAUGCAUGCUAUUCUCAGCAUUCUCUUAAAAAAAAAUCGCUGAUGAUUAAUUGAUUAUACAAGUAAAUCAAAUACUAGUAUCAACGACAACUCGCACCUGGCCUAUAAUAAAUGCUCCUCCAUCGUUAGUCCUAUCGAUAUAUACCCUAUUCAUAUAUACAGUAUGUGAUAUAGAGUGCAAAUAAAAAUAGAUAGUUCAAAAUAUGUAUUUUUUUUUUGUUUUUUUAAUCCCCUUUUUAGUCCUCUUUAUAGCAUACACGAGACAAAGUCCAUAUCAAUAUUUGUUCUCAUCCAAAAUGAUAAUUUCUCAUUAAUCACUCGCUACAUCGCUAAUUGUUCUCAUUUACAGAAGACAUGACGCAAUUAUUCAGCUACAUUAAAAAUUUUUUUCGUUAUUUCGAGUGGAUCACAAAGAAUUCUACUCAACCCUUAAAUUUCGAUUGUGUUGGCACAUUAGAAUGGAAUUUGUUAUUCAAUUUGAACAAAUUAAUCGAAACACUUAUCGAGCCAACUGAUCGAGAAAAUUAAAAAUUUGGUAUUCAAUUACUAAUUAUUCAAGUCUACUACGUACUUUGGCAUCGUGAAAUGUUUUUUUUUUUCGUUAAUUUUGAGCAGACGAUGGUCUCAAUUUUACGACUAAUUUUUCUUUAUUCAUUAUAACUCAUAUAUAAUUUUUAAAAACAUUUAACUAAUUCGUUUCGCAAUUGACUCGAUCAGUUGUUAAUAAACAUCAUUUGUUCCAAUUAGCGGAUCAAAUCACUUGGAUAGACUUGCCCAUCAUUGUGA